This 74-nucleotide transfer RNA is filed under the name Bacteroidota bacterium. Its description in RNAcentral is "tRNA-Val". It matches the Rfam family "tRNA". From Rfam's summary of the family: Transfer RNA (tRNA) molecules are approximately 80 nucleotides in length. Their secondary structure includes four short double-helical elements and three loops (D, anti-codon, and T loops). Further hydrogen bonds mediate the characteristic L-shaped molecular structure. tRNAs have two regions of fundamental functional importance: the anti-codon, which is responsible for specific mRNA codon recognition, and the 3' end, to which the tRNAs corresponding amino acid is attached (by aminoacyl-tRNA synthetases). tRNAs cope with the degeneracy of the genetic code in two manners: having more than one tRNA (with a specific anti-codon) for a particular amino acid; and 'wobble' base-pairing, i.e. permitting non-standard base-pairing at the 3rd anti-codon position. RNAcentral also lists the same sequence under 1 other name. Lineage: Bacteria; Pseudomonadati; Bacteroidota. The record is from RNAcentral.
CGAAGUAUAGCUCAGUUGGUUAGAGUAUCGCCUUGACAUGGCGGGGGUCAGUGGUUCGAAUCCACUUACUUCGA